GCAGUCGAGGGGUAUAGUGUUCUUCGGAGAUCAGAGACCGGCGCACGGGUGCGUAACGCGUAUGCAAUCUACCUUUUACAGAGGGAUAGCCCAGAGAAAUUUGGAUUAAUACCUCAUAGUAUAACAUCACGGCAUGGUCAAGUUAUUAAAGUCACAACGGUAAAAGAUGAGCAUGCGUCCCAUUAGCUAGUUGGUAAGGUAACGGCUUACCAAGGCUACGAUGGGUAGGGGUCCUGAGAGGGAGAUCCCCCACACUGGUACUGAGACACGGACCAGACUCCUACGGGAGGCAGCAGUGAGGAAUAUUGGACAAUGGGCGCAAGCCUGAUCCAGCCAUGCCGCGUGCAGGAUGACGGUCCUAUGGAUUGUAAACUGCUUUUAUACGAGAAGAAACACUGAUUCGUGAAUCAGCUUGACGGUAUCGUAAGAAUAAGGAUCGGCUAACUCCGUGCCAGCAGCCGCGGUAAUACGGAGGAUCCAAGCGUUAUCCGGAAUCAUUGGGUUUAAAGGGUCCGUAGGCGGUUUGGUAAGUCAGUGGUGAAAGCCCAUCGCUCAACGGUGGAACGGCCAUUGAUACUGCCAGACUUGAAUUAUUAGGAAGUAACUAGAAUAUGUAGUGUAGCGGUGAAAUGCUUAGAGAUUACAUGGAAUACCAAUUGCGAAGGCAGGUUACUACUAAUGGAUUGACGCUGAUGGACGAAAGCGUGGGUAGCGAACAGGAUUAGAUACCCUGGUAGUCCACGCCGUAAACGAUGGAUACUAGCUGUUGGAAGCAAUUUCAGUGGCUAAGCGAAAGUGAUAAGUAUCCC
Molecule: ribosomal RNA, 809 nt
Filed under: Flavobacterium sp.
Lineage: Bacteria; Pseudomonadati; Bacteroidota; Flavobacteriia; Flavobacteriales; Flavobacteriaceae
Description: bacterial SSU rRNA
Rfam family: Bacterial small subunit ribosomal RNA
Source: RNAcentral